GAUGAACGCUGGCGGCGUGCCUAAUACAUGCAAGUCGAGCGAACAGACGAGGAGCUUGCUCCUCUGACGUUAGCGGCGGACGUGUGAGUAACACGUGGAUAACCUACCUAUAAGACUGGGAUAACUUCGGGAAACCGGAGCUAAUACCGGAUAAUAUAUUGAACCGCAUGGUUCAAUAGUGAAAGACGGUUUUGCUGUCACUUAUAGAUGGAUCCGCGCCGCAUUAGCUAGUUGGUAAGUUAACGGCUUACCAAGGCAACGAUGCGUAGCCGACCUGAGAGACUGAUCGGCCACACUGGAGCUGAGACACGGUCCAGACUCCUACGGGAGGCAGCAGUAGGGAAUCUUCCGCAAUGGGCGAAAGCCUGACGGAGCAACGCCGCGUGAGUGAUGAAGGUCUUCGGAUCGUAAAACUCUGUUAUUAGGGAAGAACAAAUGUGUAAGUAAAUAUGCACGUCUUGACGGUACCUAAUCAGAAAGCCACGGCUAGCUACGUG
Molecule: ribosomal RNA, 497 nt
Filed under: uncultured bacterium
Lineage: Bacteria
Description: partial 16S ribosomal RNA
Rfam family: Bacterial small subunit ribosomal RNA
Source: RNAcentral